This 6908-nucleotide long non-coding RNA is filed under the name Olea europaea (common olive). Its description in RNAcentral is "long non-coding RNA (OEUR_LNC012481)". Lineage: Eukaryota; Viridiplantae; Streptophyta; Magnoliopsida; Lamiales; Oleaceae. The record is from RNAcentral.
AGCAUAAUAAGAAUACAGUAAAAGUAAGCAUCUACAGUAAAAUUGUUUACAACUUUUGCACUUCUUCAAAUCGAUAACAAAAAAAUACUAGGGGUAAAGGUAAAAGGUUAACGCAGAGAUCUCUAUAACGUAGAAAGUGUACACUUACACCUGCACACCCUUCCAAACACUAACAACAUAAAAUUUUGAUUCCAAGGGAAAAUCACAGUGGUGGUCGGCAACGCAUUGAAUCUGUGAAAACAGGUUCCCUGCCCUUAUUGCUUGUAAUAUAUAUAAUAGUCAUCCUUUCAUUUGGUCCCCAGUGAAUGGAAAGUAGGAAGCCAUAAAUUUUCAGCAUUAAAAUGUCACUUGCAAGAAGAGUGCUGUUUUAUGUAAAAUGGGUAACCAGAAAUAAUUUUGUUGAAACACAAAACAAACAGGGAAAUGAUAGGACUCAAAAAGGAAAAAGAAAUAACUGCAUCCAAACCACCAGCUGCGUCCGGCUAUCCCACCAUGCCCCUGCAAGAGAUAUAGGUGUGGGAAGGGGUAUGCAGAAUUGGGGUUAGGGAGAUUUUGUUUUAUAAUCCCCCUUCCUUUUCUAUUUUUGAUUUUCUAUUUCUAUUUCUCUUUCAGUUGAAAAUAAAGAUUAAAUCGUCCCUCCUGCAAAAAAAAUGUUGUCUUACAUUCAAAUGGAUGAACGCCAUCUACAACUACCAGAGACCAAGUUGCUACAAACUUGUAAAGUUGAGGAUUACCUCACAACAAUGCCCAUAGGUCGGCUUUCAUUUUAAAAAUAAUCAUGAAGAUGACAUUGACAAUAUCAUGACAGUAACUUACAAAUUUAUGCAAUGGACAGAGAAAAAUUUACGAGUUAAUCGUAUCUCCAACAUAAAAUUGGAUAAAAAAUAUUUAAAAGCAGCCAAGCACUAAUUCUGAAGAACUGGGCUACCAAGAAUAAAACUUUCAAGGGACUUUAAUCUGCAAUCUUUUGAGCUUAAGGCAGUGAGAUUAUCCAGCCGACCUGUCUCAAUUUAAAAAACUGCGCCACCGUCCAACCAAAACCAUCCUUCUAUCGUUCUCCUACCCUCCCAAACUUCGAAUUUCCACUCGACCAUCAAUAAGUAAACCAGCAGAACAAUCAAAUCCAAUACAAUUUAUAAUAUCGCUCAAUAUUUUAUAGAGCUAUACAAUGUCAGCAGGGGUGCCAGUAAUAUAAUGUGUAGAUGUUGUUCCCAGCCACUGUAGUAUAUAAGGUGAACCCAAUAGUUGAAGUUAGCUAAAUGAGCUAACUAGCCCAUUAAACAAAUUGUCUUAAGAUUUAUGGUGUGCUCGUAAAUCAUAUAGAAAAAAGGAUCAAACAGAACAACUUUCUGUAAUCAAACAACCAAUCUACUGAUUCAUAAAAAUUAAUAAUUCGUAUCAUACCCUUUAUCAUUUAGAGUGUGAAGCCAGGAAUUACGAGGCUUAUAUAACUUUCAAGAAUUUCUAGCAGAAAUUGUUAAGGGCAAAUCCCACAUCGGUUAGUUAAGUACGAAAAUAUUAACCAACUGCUACUACUCUUAAGACAUUGAUGUUUUAAGAUGGAACUUGUACGGUAGGUUCAACUCAAGUUGGUCAUUUCUGUAUCGAUAAGUAAUUAUAUCUUAAGAAGAAACCAAGAAAAAGCGAAAAGCGUUUUGAGUGCUGGAAGGAAAGAAAGGUAAAGGAAAAAGGCUCAAGUUUCCCAUGCAAUUAACAUAGAAAUGACUCACUAUUCAAGUCGUCAUCCCAUAAAGUGCCCACCUUUCUAAUAGCGACAACAAAAACACAGUAAACUAAGGAUUGGCUUCAUGAUUUGUUUCACCUCUCCUUUGGUUGCUAUGUCUAGAUUAAUUCCUUUAGGUUAUUAACUAUAACUAGAUACCAAAACUUCAAUUACAAUUCAAGCAUUCGUUAAUUCGAAGAGUUAAUAAUUAUAAAGCAAACAAAACAGCAAAUUAAAAAGAAUCAGAGACGGAAAGGGAGGGAAAAUGGAACCUGGGCGCCUUCUUUUUCAAUUGGUUCGAAUCUUCAACCAAGUCUGUUUCAUACAGAAUAUCAACUUAAACUGCAAUACUUUUCUCUGUACAUACACAGGACACGAUAAGAACACAAGAGGGUUUCCAGUUUAAUUGAACAGGAAAGUAAAUGAAAACGGCUAAAAAUAAAGAAGAAAUUACCAACAACCCAUGAAACACCAUUGAUUUUGCGUUUACGAAUUCAAGUAAUAAGCGUAAGCCCAUAGUUUCAAAUCACAUGACUUCAUGUCUCUUACGCAAGCGAGUUGCGGUGAUGAAAUCAUCACUGACAUCACAUGCUGCGUCAUCGAACAAUUAAACAUUAACAUUUAUGAAUAUUAUAGGUCGGCAGGGCAUUGGACAGUGAGGAUCUGACUGUUUUGGCAGAAUACUACGUUUUUGAUACGGAAGAGCAUCGGCACAGCCGAUGAGCUUUUUCUUUCCAACCCAGCUACACGCAGUCGGUGUACAAGCCCAGCUUUUUCUUUCCAGCCCAGAUCCGAUCAUUAAUUCGGUGUGGACCCCUCUCCUCACGUGACAAGAGUAUAUGACCUUUUAUUUUUUAUUUUUUUUUAUCUUUUUCUAACGAGCAAUUCAAACAUGUUACAGGAGCAGGCUCAUUGAUGGCAGAUAAUUGCCAAUCAAAAGCUACUAACUCAUUCCCCGUAAAUAAACCCAUAAAAUAUGACCAAACUUUUAUCAAGGUUCACAAAUUGUGACCACCCGAUUUUUGAAAAAAAUAAAAAUAAAAAUAAAAAUCCCUGAGUUUGUUAAUUUUGAAAAUAUAACUUCAAACCUUUGUAGUUAUGUAAUUAUUUUUCUUAUUUUGAUUAUUUUACAAUAAAUUUUAUAACACAAUGUGUUAUACUUCGUAAAAUUGUGUAACGUUCCACCACCCUUAUUUUUGUCGUCGUUGUUGUUACUAUCACUUAUAACAGUUAUUGACAUUUUACCACCUAUUUCAUACAAUUUCAACCGUCAGUCACCCCAACUUAUAAUAUUUAACGUUACAUCACCACUUGCAACAUUUAUCUAUCAUGUAGUUAAAUAAUCUAGAAUGAUGAGAUAUUAUAGCCUUUGAUUGAUCCUUAUUAUUUUUAAAAUACAUUUUCCCUCUUUUCUUUUCAAACACACAUUUAAUAAAAUAAUAUUACACGUAAACGCAAAACAUUUUUUUAUUUUCUACUCACACAUUCUACAUCAAUAUAUCAAUCUAAAAUGCAUUCUUGGCCAAAUAAUAAGGUUCAACAAAGAGCAUAAAAACCACGCGUUUUUUGGUUUAUGAUGAAAAAAUAAACUCCAAAAUUCCUAUACCAGAAGUAAAAUAUCAUCUGGUGACAAACAUAAUUAGAGCAAUCAGAGAAACAAAAGGAGGACAUCAGCUAAUAAAAUUCACUUCUUGUCACAAUCCGUGUGAUGCAGUGAGGCGAGCACGAAAAUAAAGCAGCAAUCUAGAGGCCAAAUAGCAAUUUUAGUUCUUGAAAAGUUCCAAACAGUGUUCCUGGUCAAGGUUCCGACUCCAGAACUUCUUGUAAUACUCCGCGUAUGUGAAAUCCCGAUAAAUGGAUGGAGAUCCAUCGUUUAUAAGAUCCUUUGGUGCAACGAUCAUUGCACUAUCACACGGGCAGAGGAAGGAAGCUACUGACAAUCUUGCUUUAUCUGAAUUUACUAUAGCUCGAUGCCAAACACUUCUAUAUUUUCCAUUACUCAGCGCCUGGAGAAAAUCAUUCUUAGUUAUCAUCCAAAUCCAUAUUAUAAGCAUUAAAGACCAUAUUAUAUGGUUUUCCAGUAGCCUCAUAUUCAAACGAUCGGAUGGGAUAUUAGAUAUCCUUGCACGUUUUUAGCUUCCAUGCACAUGGUAAAGUAUUGUUUCUCAUCGACACCACACAUUCUAUGAGAAUAAUCCAUCUUCUAAAGGAGACUGACAAAGAAAUAUUAUAAAAGAACCGAUUUUUUGUCGUUCAAUAGGUUAACAGAAUGUAUCAAGUGCUUUAGUUAUGACACAAAUUGCUGGUUUCAUGCACUCUCUUCAUGACCAAAUGCAUUCGUAUUCCAGCUAUAUUCUAUUUCUUACAUUACCACAAUGAAACUAUGCAAAGGUUUUUCAUCACUGGUCCCAAGCCCCCGGGAGAAAGGGGGAUAAAGGGGGAGACGGUUCCAGUAUGUUGAAGUCGCUGUAAAACAUUGUCAAAUCUAAUGACAUGAUUCCUAAUAAACAUUUCAUUGCAAUGACCCAGAAUAGCAUCUUCCACAAAAUUUAGCAAUGAACCAACGAAUGACAGAAAAUAAUUCAUACAGCCGAUCCCGAAAUUUUUGAGAAUUAAGGCUUAAUUUAUUGUUUGUAGUAUUAGAACAAUGCACAAGUUACUAUAUCAGUAAUUUAUUUUCCUAGCACCAAAGAUAAACCUUACCUGCAACUGAUCACCAAUAUUGAUGACAAAAGCAUCCGGGUGGGGUUUUAUUGCUAACCAUUUGCCAUCCAUCAGAACUUGAAGACCCGCAACUAGCAAGUCUUGAAGGAGAAUGGUUAGGGCAUUGGGAUCCGUAUGUGCUGGCAAUCCAUAAGUUAGUUCGGGUUCUGGGCAUGGUGGAUAGUAGUUGACGGCCAUGUGUUGCCCUUGUUCUCCCAACACAUUCUUGAGGCUCUCUUUUUCUAAUCCAAGGCUCUCUGCUAUUAACUCCUGCAAUCUGAACCCGAGAUGUCGAACUUCCAUACAAUAAUUGCUGGCAAUAUCCCUACAAAUUACAAGAAAUAUGUCAUUAUAUUCUUUUGCAUGCAACAAAGAUGGCUUCCUAAAGAUGAUACAGUUGGUGAUCGAGGAACGGAUCAAAGAAUUAUAGGAACAGCUUUUGUAGAUCUACAUCCUUGGAUUGCUUGUCGAUGCAUCACGCUAAAAGGAAAAAAGCUAACUUGUUUAUCAAAUAAAGCGUUAUUAAAACGAAUAGCCUUUAAAAUUUAUAUAGGGAACACGCAGAAGGCAUGAAUAUGAUUUGGGUACCUUUUUGUUAAAAGUUUUAUUUUCUUAUAGACUCCUAGGAGCUUAGUCAUAAUAGUACACGAUCUAGGCUGACCAUGUUAGGAGAGGGAAAGGAAAACCAAAACUAACAUGAUUAGUCGUACUCUCUAAGGAUUUGAUAGCUUUGAAUCUCCAGGCAACGAACAACAAAGCGGUGGAAAAGGAUUCAAGUAGCAGUUCCCAAAUUUCUGGGAAACGAGGCUUAGUAUGUUGUUGCAAAUUUAAUGGGUACCUUUUAUAUUGUUUAAACUCGAGGCUACAUAUUUAUUCCAUUUAAGAAGAUUCCUAGUUAUAAUCUCGUGGACUAUUGAUAUCGAGAUACAAGUAAUUUUGGAAAGGAAAUAGUUGCCUUGUUGCUUACUUAAAAGAAGAGGGAGUGGUAGGCCACUCGGGUACAUAUUUCUCUAAUGGAUAGCAGUGAAGCCUGAGAUAAUCUCUCCAAUUAUGAACAGUCUCCUUCUUCACAUUAAAACUUGUAGACAAUCUCACUGUCUUGGACGGGUCAUCAGAGUACAACUUCAUUUUCUCUUCCACCGGUAAACUAAAAAAUUCAUGACCCACUGCUAGCAUUUUCUGGAUUGUUUCCUUAGAUACUCCAUGAUUGAUCACCUGAAAACAAAUGUACAACAGCAAAUUACGAAAAAACUGUAGAGACUUUCAGAUAAGCUUAAACAGUAAAAAGUAAAUAUGUAAGUCUUAAAAAAAUAUUUUAUUGGUCAAAAUUGGAAAUAAAUAUUGCUACAUAUUUUGACAGCAAGUUAAGAGUUAAUUCAGAAAUGCCUUUCUAGCAUAAGAAAUAAGUAUGUCAUCCAAAUAUGUUUUGGCGAUAAAAAGUUACUCAAAAGUAACUCCUUUUAGCCUAGCCAAGCACAUAUAUGUUGCUCUAAGCAUCAACACACAUGAUGGUAGCUAAAGAAGAUGGUCGAACAUGGUCAAAUAACCUGAAAAAAGCCGUAUUCGCAACAUGCAUCGCCUAUUUGUUUGAUUAUUAGGCUCCUGUCUCCACAACCCAAGUCAAUCACAGGAACAUUCUCACAGUCGGCAACUUCAGAUAACCUCGGCCUUUCAGAUUGAGGACGGAUGUAACUUCUAGGGAGGCUUGAGUGUCGGAUUCCACUGGAGAUAACCUUCGCUUCCAUGGAUUCCAGUCUCUGAAUUACUGGAAAAAGGGAACAGACCAGUUAAGAUGCAACGUUGCUGUAAGGCUUUGGCAACUUCAACGAAGGUAUAAUAAGCUGCACGAUGCACCAAUGAUUUUCCACAUUCCUGGCUGCCUAAACAUUGUAAACAUGUCAUUUAUUUACCAAAAGACUGGAAUAUAAAUAUAUUAAAAGUAAGGGUAUACAGUAAAAUUCUUUAAAAUAUUUCUAGACAUUGUAAACAAAUUAAUCAUUUUCCAAACAGCGUAAUAAGAAUACAGUAAAAGUAAACAUCUCCAGUAAAAUUGCUUACAAAUUUUGCACUUCUUCAAAUCGAUAACAAAAAAAUGCUAGGGGUAAAGGUAAAAGGUUAACACAGAGAUCUCUAUAACGUAGAAAGUGUACACUUACACCUGCACACCCUUCCAAACACUAACAACAUAAAAUUUUGAUUCCAAGGGAAAAUCACAGUGGUGGUCCGCAACGCAUUGAAUCUGUGAAAACAGGUUCCCUGCCCUUAUUUCUUGUCAUAUAUAAUAUAAUAGUCAUCCUUUCGUUUGGUCCCCAGUGAAAGGAAAGUAGGAAGCCAUAAAUUUUCAGCAUUAAAUGUACUUUCAGCAUUAAAAUGCCACUUGCAAAAGUGCUGUUUUCAUGUAAAAUGGGUAAUCAGAAAUAAUUUUGUUGAAACAAGAAACAAAUAGGGAAAUGAUAGGAAUCAAAAAGGGAAAAGAAAUAAC